Molecule: long non-coding RNA, 3465 nt
Organism: Meriones unguiculatus (Mongolian gerbil)
Lineage: Eukaryota; Metazoa; Chordata; Mammalia; Rodentia; Muridae
Exons: 3
Source: RefSeq, a predicted model, not a curated record
CUUCGGGAGCCUCCCCUCCGCCCGCUCAGAGAAAGCAGCCUUGGGGAACACCGCACUUCCGCCUCCCUAGCGGGCGGCCCGGAAGAGGUCGCUACUGACCCAGAAGAAGAACCCGCAGUGCCCCGUCCUUUUCUGGUAUCCACUCUGGUCAUUGUCUAUGAACCGAAAGACGUCCUUCAAUUGGCUGGCUGACAUCUUGGAGAGGCCCGAUGUCUGGAAGAACUUUUGUGGUUCAAAAGUGUCUGGGUCUGAAGAACAGAGACUAGGUUAUCCUGACAAUGGAUCACAUUCUGUAUUUGUGCCCGAGUGGCGAAAAUGCAGGCUAUUAAAAUACUUUCCUAGCAUCUCUCCGUGGAUACUUGACUCACAAGAGCCAAGUCUAGGUGGUCUGUGACAUCAUCUUGUCACUGCCCCAGGUUGCCCUCUUCACUUGGUUCUGCCCACCUCCCCUGCCUCUGCUCUGUGUCUCACCCUGUCUCUCUUUCAACAAGCUGCACACCAUGUGUGAAGAACCACAUGAUUGCUGGGAGACUGUGGAUCCAAACAGGCUUAAGAGAAAAUGUGGGUAGUUACAGCCAAUUGAAAGAAAAAAAAAAGAAGAAAACUUCAACAAGCCUUAAGGUUUCGGUUCUUCAAACUAAGUUCAAGUGUGGAAGCCUGCUGGGGGAGGGGUGCAGCUGAAAUGAGGUAAGAACAGGAGGUUCUCGCUUAUGAACUGAAGACUUCCCAGAUGGCUGCUGGGGAGGGCUGCCUUCAGCGCAUGUUGCAAAUGUGUGAGGCUGACAUCAGUCUCGGGUGGAAAAACCUCAAAAGUCAGUGUCACUGAGGUGUUAGUUACAUAAUUUUCCUACCAACUUCUUGACUUGGACAUUGCCCUGCUAAAUCUGAAACUACACAUCUCACAAAAUGUGUCUGUGUCAACUUGUGUUGCUUUGACACAAGUGUUCCAGGCUGACCACAAACUCACCAUGUACCUAAGAAUGACCUUGAACUUCUGGCCUUCUUGCCUCCACUUCCUGCGCAGAGCGCCAUCAUGCACGGUGACUGCAGCACUGGGGACGGAGGCCAGGGCUUCCUGCCCACUAGCCCAGCACCCCAGCAGCCGAGUCACAGCCCAGCAUUGUUCUUUCUGAAAUGAUAUUUUUCUGUGUUGCCCCAGGCAGGAUGGCUUUGAGUUCACAAUCCUACUUCCUCAGCUUCCCAAGCUAAUGGAAUUACUGCUCCUCUUUCUUUCUUCCUUCAUUCCUUUCUUUCUUUCUCUCUCUUUCAUUUUUUGUUUUUGUUUGUGGUUUUUUUUUUGUUUGUUUGUUUGUUUGUCUUGUUUUUUAAAGACAUGAUUUCUCUGUGUAGCCUGGCUAUCCUGGAAUUCACUCUCACCCUGUAGACCAGGCUGGUCUCAAACUCACAGAGGUCCGCCUGCCUCUGCCUCCUGAGUGCUGGGAUUAAAGGUGUUCUUAAUUACUGUGUGUGUGUGUGUCAGUGUGUUUACCUGUUUGUAUGUGUUCAGACAGGGGUUGAGGUCCAGUACCUUUAUCAGUUGCUUUGCACCUUAUCUUUUGAGAGCCUCUCAGUGAACCUCAUGCCCUAGGACUUAGCCAGUCUGGUUGCCAACAACUUCCAGGGACCCCUGUGGCUCUGCCUUCCCAGUGCUGGAGUUAGUGUCUGCCGCCACACCCAGCUUUUUAAUGGAGGUUCUUAUUCUCAUAGGUGGGUUCAUGUGCUUUACCUGCUGAACCAUCUCCCCAGCCCUCCUCACAAAGGACAGUAGAGUCAUCUGUAUGCACUCUGCAACAGAACUGAAUAACUUUUUCAUUCAGAAGAACUUGAAGUUCUGUAUUUACUGAACUUUAGCCCUCCUGCCUCAGCCUUCCGAGCAGCCAGAAUUACAGGCCUGUUCCACCAAACCCAUCACAACAUUUCCUUCUUCUUAAACACUGGAUUCAACUUUGUUUCUCUUUUUUAAUAUAUUUAUUUAUUUUUAUUGCAAUAUAAAUUUAUUUAUUUAUUUAUUUUGCCUAUGUGUGUAUCUGUGCACCAGAAGAGAGCAUUGAAUUCCCUGAAGCUGAAGUUACAGACAGUUCCCGUGUGGGUCCCGGGAACUGAACCCAGGUCCUCUCUACAAAAGCAGUCAGUGCUCUUAACCACUGAGCCAUCUCUCCAGGCUCCUUUUUGCAUUUUUGCCUGUAAUCCUAGCACAUGGGCAUGUUCCACCAAACCCUGCUAAAGGAAUGGCCCAGGCUAGCCUCUUCAGCAUUUGAUUACAAUUGUGUGCUGCCGUGGUUGGCAGAAAAUGAAGAGAACGCCUGGACAUUGUAGUACAUACCUGUGAUCCUACUGUGCGAGAGGCAGGUAGAAGGUACAGCCUAAGGUACAUAUUGAGACCCUGUCUCAUUAAAACAAAAAGGAGAGGUCUAAAGGAGAGCUCAGGUGGCAGAAAGAAAAGAAAAGAAAGGCAGAGAGACCACCUAAUCAGAAGUGGGCCACUCAUGUGGCUGGUUUGGAAAGUAUAUUAUUUGGCCUUCCCUGGUUUGAUAGUAUAUGCUCAUGUGCUAAGAUUACAGGUGAAAACCACAAAAAAAGGGCCUGGAGAGAUGACUCAGCGGUUAAGAGCACUGGGUUCUUUUGUAGAGGCAGUUGGACAUUGGUGUAUGGAGCAGAGGGAGUCCUGACUGAAUGUAUAUUGUUUGGCAGGACCACAGCCAUGUCAAAGACCAAGGGCCUCAGCCCCAUAGAGUGGCAAAGCCUUCCCCAGGUGAGGCUCAAGAGGGAUGGUCUGAGUGCAAAUUCAGACUGUGUGCAAAAAUGUCCAGCAGAGCUUUCUCCCUGGGAAUGUUUAUGGCUGGAAGACAUCUCCCCUGCAGAGAUGGAUCCUACCCAAUUAGCUAAACCUGCCCCUUGCUCACAAUUUAUACACACAAAUUGUUCACAGAAUUGUAUAUAAUACCCCUGCCUCCCUGUCCAUCUGAAUAUAAUACCCCUGCCUCCCUGUCCAUCUGAAUAUAAUACCCCUGCUCCCUGUCCAUCUGAAUAUAAUACCCCUGCCUCCCUGUCCAUCUGUAUAAUAUCCCUGCCUCCCUGUCCAUCUGUAUAAUAUCCCUGCCUCCCUGUCCAUCUGUAUAAUAUCCCUGCCUCCCUGUCCAUCUGUAUAAUAUCCCUGCCUCCCUGUCCAUCUGUAUAAUAUCCCUGCCUCCCUGUCCAUCUGUAUAAUACCCCUGCCUCCCUGUCCAUCUGUAUAAUAUCCCUGCCUCCCUGUCCAUCUGUAUAAUAUCCCUGCCUCCCUGUCCAUCUGUAUAAUAUCCCUGCCUCCCUGUCCAUCUGUAUAAUAGCCCUGCCUCCCUGUCCAUCUGUAUAAUAGCCCUGCCUCCCUGUUUAUCUGUAUAUAAUAGCCCUGCCUCCUUGUCUAUCUGUAUGCAACAGCCCCUCCUCUCUAUUCAACUCUUUGUAAUAAACAUGCUAACUAUUGGG